CUCUUGAUGACCUGGCUGCUGUCCCGCACCGCCUGCUCGGGGGACCGGUCCAUCUCCUGCACCGUCCGCAGCAGCUCCUGGUACGCCUUCAGCGCCAGGUGCAUCCUGGGGACAUGGGGACGGGCGGCGUCAGGGCCCCGCGCCUGGGAUGGAGGGUCCCAGGCACCUGGGGGGAGCCCGAGCACCCACCUGCGGGCCCAGGUCACCGCCUCCUUCUUGUCCAUCAGCGCCAUCUCGUAGUAAGUGGUGAGGUUCUGCUCGAUGAAGUGGAAGGCGCGGACACCCACCGUCUCCGACACCAGCUCGGGGCGGAAGCCCCGGCGGCGGUUGAAGGCCAUGAAGAAGGCGGUGGCCCACAGGUAAUAGGUCUCGUCGUGCUGCUGAGCCUUCUCCCGCACCAGCUGGUCCUGGGGGGCGGCCGGGGGGGCUCAGCGGGGGUCCCGCAGCCCGGGGAAAGGCUCACAGCCCCCCCAGCCCCUCACCUUGACCAGCAGCAUCAGGCGGUUGUAGCAGCCCUCCAGGAAGUCCUGGCAGAAGCCGCGCAGGAAGAGCCGGACGUUGCGGGCGGAGCGGUGGGGGGGCUCGGCCUCGGGGGCGGCCUGGCGCCGCCGCGGCACCCGCCGCCUCUCCUUGCCCAGGUCGUGGCUGUAGCUCUUCAGCUGGGGGUGGGGGGGGACACACACAAGCAGCCGAAUUUACACCCCCGUGUCGUUGUGUGUUCCCACCCCCCCCAUCCCCGUGCUCACGUUGUGCAGCCCUUUGUGGAAGACGACGUCCCGGUCCCCGAUCGCCUUCAGGCCCUGCAGGACGUAGGACCCCCCGAAGCGGGAGUGCCUGGGCAGGGGGACGUGGGCUGAGCGGUGCCGGCCCCGCCACGGGGGUCCCGGCCCUGCCACGGGAGUGUCCCUGUCCCCCCCCCUCACCUGGACGGGCGCUGCAGCGCUCGGGCCCUCCUCUCCGCCAGCUCCCGCUGCCGCAGGGUCUCCAGCUCCCGCGUGUCCUCCCCGUGCUCAGCGGCCGCCUGCCCCUGCCCCAGCGCCGCCAGCUCCUCCGGGCUCUGUGG
RNAcentral lists this long non-coding RNA (1063 nucleotides) under Strix occidentalis caurina (northern spotted owl). RNAcentral's name for it is "lncRNA (ENSSOCG00000015877.1)". The record is from RNAcentral. Lineage: Eukaryota; Metazoa; Chordata; Aves; Strigiformes; Strigidae.